This 309-nucleotide ribosomal RNA is filed under the name Triticum aestivum (bread wheat). RNAcentral's name for it is "partial small subunit ribosomal RNA". Lineage: Eukaryota; Viridiplantae; Streptophyta; Magnoliopsida; Poales; Poaceae. The record is from RNAcentral.
AUGCUUGGAAAGAGCCUUUUCAAUCAUUUUAUUGGUUCAUCUGUCUCUAGUAAGGCACAAGCCAAUUUCCCUCUAUUUGUAAACUUACCAUCAAGAUGGAAACCGGGACGGAUUCUCCUUCGUCGGAUGUUGGUAGACGAUGUCAAAAUCAGAGCAUGUCAUACUAUGCCUCUGAUGCGUCGGACAUUACCAAACGAACAACGGAGGCUUGGCCAGUUCACGAACCCAUGGCGUCCACCCCUCGUCGAGUCCCGUUCCUUCGCCGGCAUCAUGGGUCAGGCAUCAACGACAGUCCCCCAUUGCUGUUGA